Molecule: ribosomal RNA, 245 nt
Filed under: uncultured bacterium
Lineage: Bacteria
Description: partial 16S ribosomal RNA
Rfam family: Bacterial small subunit ribosomal RNA
Source: RNAcentral
AACGUAGGGGGCAAGCGUUGUUCGGAAUCAUUGGGCGUAAAGCGCGUGUAGGCGGUCGAAUAAGUCAGAUGUGAAAUCCUCGGGCUUAACCCGAGAAGUGCAUCUGAAACUAUUCGACUUGAGUCUGGAAGAGGGAAAUGGAAUUCCUGGUGUAGCGGUGAAAUGCGCAGAUAUCAGGAAGAACACCAGUGGCGAAGGCGGUUUCCUGGGCCACGACUGACGCUGAGACGCGAAAGCUAGGGGAG